Molecule: ribosomal RNA, 429 nt
Filed under: Actinomycetes bacterium
Lineage: Bacteria; Bacillati; Actinomycetota; Actinomycetes
Description: Actinobacteria bacterium partial 16S ribosomal RNA
Rfam family: Bacterial small subunit ribosomal RNA
Source: RNAcentral
UAGGGAAUCUUCCGCAAUGGGCGAAAGCUUGACGGAGCAACGCCGCGUGAGUGAUGAAGGUCUUCGGAUCGUAAAACUCUGUUAUUAGGGAAGAACAAAUGUGUAAGUAACUAUGCACGUCUUGACGGUACCUAAUCAGAAAGCCACGGCUAACUACGUGCCAGCAGCCGCGGUAAUACGUAGGUGGCAAGCGUUAUCCGGAAUUAUUGGGCGUAAAGCGCGCGUAGGCGGUUUUUUAAGUCUGAUGUGAAAGCCCACGGCUCAACCGUGGAGGGUCAUUGGAAACUGGAAAACUUGAGUGCAGAAGAGGAAAGUGGAAUUCCAUGUGUAGCGGUGAAAUGCGCAGAGAUAUGGAGGAACACCAGUGGCGAAGGCGACUUUCUGGUCUGUAACUGACGCUGAUGUGCGAAAGCGGGGGGAGCAAACAGG